This is a long non-coding RNA of Scophthalmus maximus (turbot), 1226 nucleotides long. RefSeq lists it as uncharacterized. The record is from RefSeq and is a predicted model, not a curated record. The transcript is spliced from 3 exons. NCBI's taxonomy places the organism in Eukaryota, Metazoa, Chordata, Actinopteri, Pleuronectiformes, Scophthalmidae.
AUUGCGCCAUGUCCGUUCUACUGCUGAAACUUGAACUGUAGCUGGCUUACUUUUUUUUUUUUUUAAGGAAGAAUAAUAAUGAAGAGGAAUAACAUGCAGCUGUUGAUUUUAAUCUGGCUUUUGCACAUUCCCAUGAUUGGGUUUCUCAAAACUGCCUUCAGCCAGCUGGAUUCAGACAUGCUUUGGAGUGACCCAGUCUCCCACAUGUUGAUGGGCUGUGCUCCGAUUUAAUUGUUUCUGGAACUGGACAUAGGUUCAUUUCUGGAGCCAUAUACCCAGGAGGCAUGCUGUGCUCCUGCAUGUCUGUUCACAUGGGACAGAUUCCGCCACAGAAUAUCAACUCCUCCGAUGUCGUCACACAUUGGAUACCAAGCCGGUGUCAUCCACUUCACAGGUCAGAGGUCAGGUAAGUUGCUGCUUCAUGGUAAGUAUCCGCGGCAGUAAGCCUGACACUGAGCCAGUUGGUGAAUGGGGAAAGUGACAAGUGUGACUGACCUGCUGCCUGGCAUGAACCUGCGGCCCUGCGUCGUCGUCUGCAAACCGGAAAUGUCCAUGCAAGGUUGUCUGUUUGCAUUGCUGACACGUACCGACUGCAGCAUUGGCCUCUGUUUAUACCCAAUGACACAGAUAAGAAGCAAUACUGAGUCAAAAGGUUUCCCACACACUACAAACAUAGAUCCCAUGUUUACUGAAAUUAUUUACAGUAAACCUAAAUGCCUUGUGACAUAUUGCGCAGCGACGCACUGCACGUAUAGGAAUGCCAUGUGAUAUCUGCGCCCGUGUGGCUCAUGUGCUUGACAGAUAGUGUUAUGAGAUACAGCACAUAUCCACUCACACAUCCAGAUAUCAUUGGUUUUGAGACUAUAAGGAUAGGAGUAUAUUUUCUUUAAAAAAAAUCAGCUUGUUACGUUUUUGUUGUGGUCCGAGCAUUUGCACAGUAUGCAUUCGAUAAUUCCCUCAAAUGGCAGACGCAUACAUGUAUCUAUAGUCUCGUCGCCCAUGCCUGUGUCUGACUGGACGUGUGUCACUGCACAUACAGGGUAAUCUGUGGUAAGCUGGUUUAUGGGCUCGUCUGCAGUGACGCAGAUGUACGCGCCAAGCUCCACGCUUAUAGAUCCGCCACAACUAACCUGCACAGACUCUGUGGCCUAUACCCUACAUCCUGACAGACGGCUUGCGUAUUACAUAUAUAUAUAUAUAUCAGAAAUGUUCAUCACAGCUUAGCA